UCUUAACAUGAAUAAAAAUAUUUGACACAAGUAAAGCUGUGCCUAUCAUCCAUUAAUCGUCAACAAUAUCACUUUCAGUUCUCAACAACACUGAUUUGGGUUUCAAUUUCAUUCUGUUUCACUUGUAU
Molecule: long non-coding RNA, 128 nt
Organism: Thalassophryne amazonica
Lineage: Eukaryota; Metazoa; Chordata; Actinopteri; Batrachoidiformes; Batrachoididae
Exons: 3
Source: RefSeq, a predicted model, not a curated record